RNAcentral lists this long non-coding RNA (638 nucleotides) under Panax ginseng (ginseng). Its description in RNAcentral is "long non-coding RNA (PGIN_LNC011961)". Lineage: Eukaryota; Viridiplantae; Streptophyta; Magnoliopsida; Apiales; Araliaceae. The record is from RNAcentral.
UUUUAGAGAGAGAAGCUUAAGGAUGCGAGUUGGAUGAAUUUUAGUGUACAAAAUAUAUUAUCUCUCUCCAAUCUAUAUAUAAACCAAGUUAGAUGCAUUGGAUGCUACUCAAUGGUUGAUUGAAUCUGCAUAAUUGAGUCUUGGAUGCUCAAUUGGUAGGGUAAGUAUGUUUGCCAUGCUUUGCUAGCAAGAUUCCUCCAAUAAUACACUAAUAAUACACUAAUAAGCCAAAAAGGGCAUUUUGGUAAUUUCGCAUAUAAUUUCAUGGGCAUUUUUGUACAUAGCAAUUAAAUGUAGUAUUUAAUCACUAGAUGGUAAUUCUUAUCAUUUACCAAUUAAUUCUAUCCUUUGGUAAAUUAAAACUUUUAUACAUUAACAUCGUAAUUAAACCCGAUAAUUUUAAAUUAGGGUUUUGAUUGAAAAAUUAGGGUUUUCUAAUUAGGGUUUCUUAACGCCAUCAAUUAGGGUUUCUAAUUGACCAUUAGGGUUCUCUAAUUAUCUGUGUAUGUUCUAACACAGUCAUUACGAUCUCUAACUUCAACCGAUUAGGGUUGUAAUAAUUAGGGUUUGUCCUAAUUAUCGACAAACAACAGUAAUUAGGGUUUUCUUCUAAUUACCGACAUCUUAUACACAGUAAC